UUACUUGAUGUACCAAUCGGUACGUCAAGUUAUGAGAUAUGGGUAAAAUUGAGCAAUAUCUGUGAGAAGGAUACAAAACAACAGAACAUGAUAUAGUAACCCACACUGCGUGGCUGACAGAUCGUGUAUUUGCAACUGUGUGGGAUUAAUGCAAAAAGGAGAAAGGAAAAUAGAUAAUCUCACAACUCAGGUGAUUGUCAAGAAAGCAAGAUCAUCAAAAUGAUCUAUAGCCUGCAAAGCUCAAGAGAAGAGGUGCUUCAAAUGUUGGAAAAACAAAAAAGAAUUAGAAAGAAUAGACGAGACUCAAGAAGUGUGCUCUCCGUGUGGGACAUGUAAGAAAUCUAAUCAUUUGGAAAAAGACUGUUAUUUU
Long non-coding RNA from Eufriesea mexicana, 370 nucleotides. RefSeq lists it as uncharacterized. NCBI's taxonomy places the organism in Eukaryota, Metazoa, Arthropoda, Insecta, Hymenoptera, Apidae. The transcript is spliced from 3 exons. The record is from RefSeq and is a predicted model, not a curated record.